Molecule: non-coding RNA, 29 nt
Filed under: Homo sapiens (human)
Lineage: Eukaryota; Metazoa; Chordata; Mammalia; Primates; Hominidae
Source: RNAcentral
UAGAGCGUUGACCAAUCAAAGAAGGGGGA